GUGCUCGCUUUGGCAGCACAUAUACUAAAACUGGAACAAUACAGAGAAGAUUAGCAUGGCCCCUGCACAAGGAUGGCACACAAAUUCAUGAAAUGUUCCAUAUUUUU
Molecule: small nuclear RNA, 107 nt
Filed under: Jaculus jaculus (lesser Egyptian jerboa)
Lineage: Eukaryota; Metazoa; Chordata; Mammalia; Rodentia; Dipodidae
Source: RNAcentral